Molecule: ribosomal RNA, 466 nt
Filed under: uncultured bacterium
Lineage: Bacteria
Description: partial 16S ribosomal RNA
Rfam family: Bacterial small subunit ribosomal RNA
Source: RNAcentral
GAUGAACGCUGGCGGCGUGCUUAACACAUGCAAGUCGAACGAUGAAGCCCAGCUUGCUGGGUGGAUUAGUGGCGAACGGGUGAGUAACACGUGAGUAACCUGCCCUUAACUCUGGGAUAAGCCUGGGAAACUGGGUCUAAUACCGGAUAGGAGCGUCCACCGCAUGGUGGGUGUUGGAAAGAUUUAUCGGUUUUGGUUGGACUCGCGGCCUAUCAGCUUGUUGGUGAGGUAAUGGCUCACAAAGGCGACGACGGGUAGCCGGCCUGAGAGGGUGACCGGCCACACAGGGACUGAGAAACGGCCAAGACGCAUACGGGAGGCAGCAGUGGGGAAUAUUGCAAAAUGGGCGGAAGGCUGAUGCAGCGACGCCGCGUGAGGGAUGACGGCCUUCGGGUUGUAAACCUCGUUCAGUAGGGAAGAAGCGAAAGUGACGGUGCCUGCAGAAGAAGCAACGGCUAACUACGUG